GACGAACGCUGGCGGCGUGCUUAACACAUGCAAGUCGAGCGAUGAAUUUUCUUCGGAAAUGGAUUAGCGGCGAACGGGUGAGGAACACGUGAAGAAUCUGCCCUCCACUUUGGGAUAACACAGGGAAACCUGUGCUAAUACCGAAUAUUGAAACAUAAGUGGCAUUACUGAGUUUUGAAAGAAUUUCGGUGGAGGAUGACUUCGCGGCCUAUCAGCUAGUUGGUGAGGUAAUGGCUCACCAAGGCAACGACGGGUAGCCGGCCUGAGAGGGCGACCGGCCACACUGGGACUGGGACACGGCCCAGACUCCUACGGGAGGCAGCAGUUGGGAAUAUUGGGCAAUGGAGGAAACUCUGACCCAGCGACGCCGCGUGCGGGAUGAAGGCCUUCGGGUUGUAAACCGCUUUCAGUAGGGAAGAAGCGAAAGUGACGGUACCUACAAAAGAAGCACCGGCUAACUAUGUGCCAGCCGCCGCGGUAA
RNAcentral lists this ribosomal RNA (481 nucleotides) under uncultured bacterium. RNAcentral describes it as "partial 16S ribosomal RNA". It matches the Rfam family "Bacterial small subunit ribosomal RNA", at positions 28 to 523 of the family's 1533-position model. The record is from RNAcentral.